GACGAACGCUGGCGGCGUGCUUAACACAUGCAAGUCGAACGGAAAGGCCCCUUUGGGGGUACUCGAGUGGCGAGCGGGUGAGUAACACGUGCGUAACCUGCCCUUGUCUUCGGGAUAACUUCAGGCAACUAGGGGUAACACCGGAUUGGAAUCAUUGCUGCCUGGUGGGGGUUGGAAAGCUUCCGCGGUGUUGGAUGGACUGGCGGCUUAUCAGCAUGUUGGUGGGGUAGUGGCUUACCAAGGCUUUGACGGGGAGCCGGCCUGGGAGGGCGAGCGGCCCCAUUGGGACUGGGAUACAGGCCAGACCCCUACUGGGAGGAGCAGUAGGGGAUAUUGCACAAUGGGCGGGAGCCUGAUGCAGCAACGCCCCGGGCGGGAGGACGGCCUUCGGGUUGGGAACCGCUUUCAGCAGGGGCCGAGCUUGUAGUGACGGUACCGGCAGAAGAAGCACCGGCUAACUACGUG
This 465-nucleotide ribosomal RNA is filed under the name uncultured bacterium. RNAcentral describes it as "partial 16S ribosomal RNA". It matches the Rfam family "Bacterial small subunit ribosomal RNA", at positions 28 to 507 of the family's 1533-position model. The record is from RNAcentral.